Molecule: ribosomal RNA, 500 nt
Filed under: uncultured bacterium
Lineage: Bacteria
Description: partial 16S ribosomal RNA
Rfam family: Bacterial small subunit ribosomal RNA
Source: RNAcentral
AUUGAACGCUGGCGGCAUGCCUUACACAUGCAAGUCGAGCGGCAGCGCGGGGGCAACCCUGGCGGCGAGCGGCGAACGGGUGAGUAAUACAUCGGAACGUGUCUAGUAGUGGGGGAUAACCUGUCGAAAGAUAGGCUAAUACCGCAUACGAUCUACGGAUGAAAGCGGGGGACCGCAAGGCCUCGCGCUAUUGGAGCGGCCGAUGUCGGAUUAGCUAGUUGGCGGGGUAAAAGCCCACCAAGGCGACGAUCCGUAGCUGGUCUGAGAGGACGACCAGCCACACUGGAACUGAGACACGGUCCAGACUCCUACGGGAGGCAGCAGUGGGGAAUUUUGGACAAUGGGGGCAACCCUGAUCCAGCCAUGCCGCGUGAGUGAAGAAGGCCUUCGGGUUGUAAAGCUCUUUCGGCGGGGACGAAACGGUUCGUGCCAACACCACGGACUAAUGACGGUACUCGCAGAAGAAGCACCGGCUAACUACGUGCCAGCAGCCGCGGUAA